AUUCUACUCCCUUUGUUGCACAAUACAUGCCUUCUAUCUGUCAAAAUAUAUAUGUAUCUAGACAUGUCUUAGUAUAUAGGUACAUCCAUUUUUGGACAAAUGGAAGUCAAGUAUUUUGGAACGGAGGGAGUACAUA
This is a non-coding RNA of Triticum aestivum (bread wheat), 136 nucleotides long. The record is from Rfam. Lineage: Eukaryota; Viridiplantae; Streptophyta; Magnoliopsida; Poales; Poaceae.